Oryzias melastigma (Indian medaka) is the source of this 1793-nucleotide long non-coding RNA. RefSeq lists it as uncharacterized. The record is from RefSeq and is a predicted model, not a curated record. The transcript is spliced from 3 exons. Lineage: Eukaryota; Metazoa; Chordata; Actinopteri; Beloniformes; Adrianichthyidae.
CAUAAAAGACAAUGUGUUAUACAUUAUAUAAAUGCAGCACAUGCUCCAGCACACAAGUCAGAAUCUGUUGAACUCCAGUGAAGCAUGUCACAUCAGUGUGCCUUGCACUGAGCCGCUCUGCCUUUGUUUCAUGCAGAGGCCCUCAGCUGUUGUGGAUUAAUCCACGAAUUUUUAGCAGACUGUGUGAGGACAAGAAAAGAAAUCCAAGAGCGGAAGACGCUGCACGCCCGCCGUGGACAUGCGGUCCCACUGUCAGUCAGUGAGAAUAUCAAACAGUAAGUAGACUGAGGUCCUCGGAGGAAAGAUGAUAGGUCAUUGACACUCAAAGCUCUGAGGUGCUUGGUAUGUUUUGGCUUCAGUGACUCCAUAAACCAACAACAAUGGCAGCCUGCUGUUCUCUGUGGUCUUGUUUGGAUGAGUUAUAACUCCUUCCCAGCAGGCAUUGUGCCUUGAUGCAGCUUAACGAAUUACAUCAGACCACUGUUGUUUGUUAGAAGUCUGAAUCUUUAAUCUCUAAUAUUCUGAGUUUGUGCUCAAGAGCCCAAUGCUCAAAAACUAAAGAACAAACCGCAGAAGAAUUGAAUCUUAUAAUUUGAAAGGUCUCAUAAUACAUAAAAUAAUGCAUCUUCUGCUUUGAUUUUUUUAAAAUUGUCUGCCAAAACAUUACAUUUUACACAAGUUAAAGUUGCUGGAUUUCAGAAAUAUUUUUUCCAUGAUUCUCUGAUCAGAGAGAACUUUUUGUCCCACUGCUCAAAGAUUUUCACAUUUAACUAAACCACAAAAUUCAUUUCAAGCAAGAAUUUGAAUGAUCAAUGUAUCUAUGCGUUAUUGCACAUAAACAUGCUAUAAAAAUUAGAUUUGAAGGGGUUUAUUAUUUUUUUUUAUUGUUUAUUUGAUAGGGACAAAUACAGAAGAAUAUAGAUCAUUGUAUUAGAACAAUCUGAUGCUUGUAUUACAGUGUUUAUAGCCGUGGCUAAUUCACAACACCUGGUGGAGAUUUUACUGAAAAAAAAAACAACAACAAGCAGCGAAAAAUGAAUGUGUAAUAUUGUAAACUUUUAAAGGUGAGACCUGACAUCAAUUAAUUUUUAAACUGUCUUAAACCAUUUUCCAAAUCUUUUCACUACAUGAAGCACAAGAAUGCCCAGAUAUUGUCUAUUUUUUUUAUUUUUUUGUUUUCCUACUGCUUUUGUCUCAUUGACUGAUGUUAUUGACAGAUAUACUUGAAAAAAGAAUAAUAAAAAAAAUCCUGUCUAUCAGAAUGGUCAAUAAAGUUUGUUUAAACAAAAAAAGCUAGCUUGAUGCUACAAUCUUACACGCACGCGCGCAAACAGACCUCUCAGGAAGUGAGAGGGGGAGGGGUUUCUCCGAGCCAACAGCCCCGCCCGCAAACCUGUUUUUCCAAUGAGUUAGCUGCCGCUGAGCGUGAACUGUCUUAAAAAAAAAACCCCGACUACAGCUUUUUUUAUUUUAGCUAAAAAAUGUCACAUAUGAUUAAAAGACUAGGAACGAUUUUACAAAAGAAAAACAAUUGUUUGGAGUGGGACCUGAAGGGCCGAGGAAUUAACAACAAAGAUCUCCCCUCACAAUGAGAGCCUUGGAUCCGCCUUGACCUCUGUGUUGCUGACCCUCGCCUUCGUCUACGUCUUGCUGCCUCUGCCUGCUCCUCUGGAUAUUUCCGCUGCCCUGAUUUCCUAUAUUGACUCUGACUCUCUUCUCAGAAGAACUCACAGACUCCUCCUACUGCUUGGAGGACCUUACUGCACGCCAAAUAAACUGCUUAAAAACUCUCA